Molecule: long non-coding RNA, 1348 nt
Organism: Lolium perenne
Lineage: Eukaryota; Viridiplantae; Streptophyta; Magnoliopsida; Poales; Poaceae
Source: RefSeq, a predicted model, not a curated record
AUCACCUUAAACAUGGCCUAUCCAGGCUCUGAAGCUCUCCGUCGUAAAUUCGUAGAGUCUAACAUGGGCCGUGCCCCCUCCACCCAAUUAAUUCGAGAAACCUCUGUUCAUAAGAGAUAUGUUGGCUAGAAACUACUACCUUGGCCCUUUCCGCACCCUCAAUAUUCAAAUUUAAAGCUCCGUUGUAGAACUUGGUGUGUCAUCACCUCAAAUUUAAAUUUAAAGGCUGUUGCAUCACUGUUUUAAUUCUUUGCUUGUACGGGCUUUGUUCCAUUCUUUGGUAAUACUCUCCGGCACAUGUAAAUCAGCAGGUCUUCAUCCGUGUGUAUUCAGAACCUUGGAAAUAUCAUCUUGACAUUACCAUGUUGGCUUGGUGGUUUGGGUUGGACAGAUUCAUGUGGUUGCAGAUGCUACAUUGGUGCAAAUAGUUCUAACACAAAGCUAAGCUCUACGUUUAUUUAUUUGAGGAAAUGGCUAAUGACAUAUUUCCUUUACCAGAUUUUACUUUGUUGGGUUGCGUAAAUAGAAAUGACAGUUGCAAGUUCACCUCAUGAUUGCCAUAUAAGAGAGAAAGAAAGGGUGGGCCAUGUUUGCUGUUUCACCUCUUUUAGUUCUUUUCUUUUGUAGCCGGUAGUGUAAUUUGUGUGUUCACGCUACUUACAUUUUAGGAACGUGCAUCUUUGUGUCAUUGACUUAUUUUGAUGUGGCAUAAGAUCUAUAUUUAUGGCGCUGCCUUCAAUAUGCUUGAACCCCUAUUUGCUUUCUGUUUUUUUUUUAUAUCUUCGCAGGUUUAAAAUUAUAAGAAUGGUACUACUUCUCUUUCAGCCGCCUGAAGCCUGAAGACACUUCACUCUCGGUAACUAACAUCAUUCGCCAUUAGGAGUCCGAGCAUUAUUGGUUACUUGAGGAAUCAUACUUGAAUCUCUCCGACGCAUCAUUCAAGGAUUUUCGGAGGAAACUUCCAGUUACCCGCACCCAUUACCUAUGGCAUAACACUCAUGCCAUCAGCCUUACAACACGGGACUUGACAAAAGAGCUAGCGCUAGGGAAAUGAAGCUUAUGGGGGCAGGCCACUAGGGUGCUUCCGCACAUCGGUGUAAAUCAAUAGCAUGACCUUAUUUUUGUUGGGAAGUGGCGGAUAUAUGUGCAUUCAGACUCUGACUCGCGUCACUUGUGAGAUCUUCGUCUAUUUUUAGCUUUCGAAGGAGUUCAUCUGUACCUUUUGCCUUUUGACAUUUCACACGACGUAGAUUAGAUUUUAUCAUGUAUAUUAAAAACAUAUAACUACUAUACUAUUUGGGAACAAACAUCUUUUUUGUAAGAAUUUUGAGGCCUAUCUCUGAAUUAA